CAGUAGCCACGGUAAUACGAGGGGGGCAAGCGUUGUUCGGAAUUAUUGGGCGUAAAGGGUGCGUAGGCGGUUUGGCAAGUUUGGUGUGAAAUCUUCGGGCUCAACUCGAAGUCUGCAUCGAAAACUGCCGGGCUUGAGUAUGGGAGAGGUGAGUGGAAUUUCCGGUGUAGCGGUGAAAUGCGUAGAUAUCGGAAGGAACACCUGUGGCGAAAGCGGCUCACUGGACCAUAACUGACGCUGAGGCACGAAAGCUAGGGGAGCAAACAGGAUUAGAUACCCCUGUAGUCCCUGUCUCUUAUAC
Molecule: ribosomal RNA, 301 nt
Filed under: uncultured bacterium
Lineage: Bacteria
Description: partial 16S ribosomal RNA
Rfam family: Bacterial small subunit ribosomal RNA
Source: RNAcentral